Schistosoma curassoni is the source of this 46-nucleotide non-coding RNA. NCBI's taxonomy places the organism in Eukaryota, Metazoa, Platyhelminthes, Trematoda, Strigeidida, Schistosomatidae. The record is from Rfam.
GCACUGCCGAGGAGUCCCACAAUAGGACGAAACGGCUGUACAGUGC